Molecule: ribosomal RNA, 474 nt
Filed under: Melitta melittoides
Lineage: Eukaryota; Metazoa; Arthropoda; Insecta; Hymenoptera; Melittidae
Description: eukaryotic LSU rRNA
Source: RNAcentral
GAGCGCACGCCGCCUUCGGGGUGUUCCGGCGUCGUAGUCGUGCACUUCUCCCCUAGUAGAACGUCGCGACCCGUUGCGUGUCGGUCUACGGCCCGAGCGGUAGCCUGUCCCGUUACGCCUCGCGCGUGCGGUAGUCAGACCCUCGGUCGCCCGGCCGGCUGCGCGACGGUACUCGCACGGUAUCGGGCCGCACGAUAGCCAAAGUUCCUUUGGCGAGGCGUGCGUCAGGCCCGUCRCAAGCUGGGUCAGUUCUUACCCGGAGGUUACGGACCCGGUGCCGUCCCCGGGCCUGGCCAGCUGUUUGCCGACGGUGUCCUCUGACUGCGUCCACCACUAAAUAUACAAUMCCGGUCGGCGACGCUAUUGCUUUGGGUACUCUCAGGACCCGUCUUGAAACACGGACCAAGGAGUCUAACAUGUGCGCGAGUCAUUGGGAACGAUUGUGAAACCUAAAGGCGCAAUGAAAGUGAAGGU